Molecule: ribosomal RNA, 399 nt
Filed under: uncultured bacterium
Lineage: Bacteria
Description: partial 16S ribosomal RNA
Rfam family: Bacterial small subunit ribosomal RNA
Source: RNAcentral
UGGGGAAUAUUGGACAAUGGGGGCAACCCUGAUCCAGCAAUGCCGCGUGUGUGAAGAAGGUUUUCGGAUUGUAAAGCACUUUCGACGGGGACGAUGAUGACGGUACCCGUAGAAGAAGCCCCGGCUAACUUCGUGCCAGCAGCCGCGGUAAUACGAAGGGGGCUAGCGUUGCUCGGAAUGACUGGGCGUAAAGGGCGUGUAGGCGGUUUGUACAGUCAGAUGUGAAAUCCCCGGGCUUAACCUGGGAGCUGCAUUUGAUACGUGCAGACUAGAGUGUGAGAGAGGGUUGUGGAAUUCCCAGUGUAGAGGUGAAAUUCGUAGAUAUUGGGAAGAACACCGGUGGCGAAGGCGGCAACCUGGCUCAUAACUGACGCUGAGGCGCGAAAGCGUGGGGGAGCA